Molecule: long non-coding RNA, 494 nt
Organism: Frieseomelitta varia
Lineage: Eukaryota; Metazoa; Arthropoda; Insecta; Hymenoptera; Apidae
Exons: 4
Source: RefSeq, a predicted model, not a curated record
CAAAUUAGUUUGCGACGCGAACCUGUUGCGCAGGGGGGUUAGUCUAUUGUUCAAGAUCAAGGUGUUAACGUCUAUUACGUCGCAUGACAGUAAUUAACUGCGUAACACUUUCAUUAUUGUCUUUCUAUCAUUUAUACUUACGUUACUGUUGAGCUUAUUUAAUAAGUGUUAUUGGUUGAUUUCGAAGAAAAAUUCGAAGUAUUAGAGGGACGCCACGAAAUUCAAAAAGAGACGCCAUCUUGAUUCGAGAUAAAAUCGUUUAACUUUUCAUGGACAAAGGACAAUAUUUGAUUUUCCUGAUACUUUUCAAUCUUCAAUACUUUGACGGAAUUCGAUGAUUUCUAUUGGAUGACUGAUUCCCUUGGGCUACAAUUUCAAAGAUGAUAACGUUCUUUGCGAAGUGUUCUUUAAUUUACAUUGUGGCAUCACCAGAAGACGAUUCAUAUUCUACAUUAUGUCUAACAUAAUGUCCCAUUCCUUUCUAUUUUUGUAUG